CCACUCCUCUUUCUCUUUCUUAAUCCAUCUUCUACUUUUCUCUCAACCCUAACCCCCAACAACUCUCUCCCUUCUCAGCCUCAAAAGUUCUCGAUCUACUCCGCGCUCGAAGAAUUUGCCGCAAUUAUAAGAAUUACAACAAGCUGUAAACAAAAUUCAAACAUUUUGAGUUAAUGAAUUUUUGUUCCAGAUCGAUCUAACAAAACAAAAUUCUUUGCCGAAAAUUCCAUCUCGAUUUUAAGGUAUAGCUGGAGAUAUAUGCUUUAACCAUCUUAUCAAGGUACUUUGCAACAUUUGAGACUUUUUUGGCGAGAUUUGCUAUUGUGUGGCAAUUAGGUUUCCUGGCUUCAAAUUAUUCAUGUACUUCCGCUCUUGUGUGAACUUUUGGAUGAGUAUGGAAGGAAACCGCUUCUCUGUUUGACCAUGUCUACUUCCAUUUUCCUAUUGAUCGUCCAACGUGAUAAGGAGCAAGAUGAGAAUGAAGGAAAAGACCCACUUGAGUUUCAUAUAAGCUACUACUACCACUAUUAUAGAUCCUGGUUUUUCUAGGUUUUAGUUAUUCUGUUUAGUAGAUACAAUUUGUAUUUUUGAUGAU
Spinacia oleracea (spinach) is the source of this 595-nucleotide long non-coding RNA. RefSeq lists it as uncharacterized. NCBI's taxonomy places the organism in Eukaryota, Viridiplantae, Streptophyta, Magnoliopsida, Caryophyllales, Amaranthaceae. The transcript has 6 exons. The record is from RefSeq and is a predicted model, not a curated record.